This is a long non-coding RNA of Odocoileus virginianus texanus, 2083 nucleotides long. RefSeq lists it as uncharacterized. NCBI's taxonomy places the organism in Eukaryota, Metazoa, Chordata, Mammalia, Artiodactyla, Cervidae. The record is from RefSeq and is a predicted model, not a curated record.
AACCAUUUUGAUGCAGUCGAUAAUAGGGCAGACGGAGAGACAGAGGGUACAGCCGGUGCAAGCGUCAGUGAUGGUGGGCAGGUGGUCAGAAGAAUACAUAAAAUCAUAUCACAAUCAAAUAGGACCUUUCUCCAAGCUAAAUAAGACUCUCAGCUGAGGGCUCGGGGACUGGGAAGAAGCUCUGGCUCACUUUAUGUGGUAGGAACACAACUUGCUCAGCUUUUCCAGCUACAGAAGAAUUUCAGGUCCCAACCAGCACAACUAGUCGGUGGUAAAACGUCUUUUUUUCUAAUUGUAGUAAAAGCCCAAUCAACACUGAAUGGAAGACCAGAGAAGGAAGCAAGUUCCUUCCAGAUCAUGGACAUAAGUUGGUAGUUCUUUUCUCUGCUUUCUCCUUUAAGGAUGUCGCUCAACACUGCAGCCAGAUGACCCUUUGAAAAACUCAGUCUGAUUACGUCAUUCUUCCUUUUAAAAAGCCUCCAUAGUUUCCUGCCAAGGACUUUCCUACUUCAGAGUCUUUGCAUUUUCUGUUCCUUUUGAAUGGAAGGCUGCACCCUUGGGUGCUUAUUUGCAUUUAUCACUCUGUCUCUGUGAUGUGUCUACUCAUGCCAUUUAACCAGGCAGGCAACCCCUGACCAACCAACCUCUCCGGCAAUUCCUUUUCUCCAAAACCUGCUGAAUCUUCUCCACAGCGCUGUGGCCAUCUGGUAACAGUAUGUAUCCACUCGCUCAUUUGUUUAUUGUCUGUUCUCACUAAAAUGUAGGCACCCUCAGAAUUGGGCUUUUGUUUUGUUCACUACUGACUUGCUGGUGACUAGAGCAUUGCUGGAACAUAGUGAGUGGAUAUUAAUAGUCAUUGGAUGAAUGACAAAAUGGAUGUAUGGGUAAAUAGGAUAAUUACUGCCAGUUGGAAAUUGAAAUCUCAGUGGUUACACGUGAAAGACACAAUAAAACAUUAUUGGAUGCCCUUGCUAAGAUGAGUAGCACUUUCUGAUCUGUGGUCCACUUCCUCAGACUUCCUCUCUUUUUCCCCCCUCCACUUCACCAUUUCCUUCUGGUUAUUCUCUUAUUUCCUUGAUCACUUGAUCCCACUUUCUUCCCCAGAACGUCCUAUUCCCUCAUAGGGUACUAGGUUAAGCAAGAAAUAAGAAAAUAUACGAGAAGCUACUGUCUGUGUCUGGCAACUAGUAGGCGGUCAGUAUGUUAGUUUUCUCUUUAUAUCCUCCAGCACAGGUCCAUAAUUAGCCUGAGUUCACUAACUUCAGUAUGUUCAAAUCUGAAUUUUUCAUCCACAUCAAAAAAACUCAUCAAACCUAAAAACACCAAGGAAAAAACCCUGAUUCAUUAUCUUUUAUUUUUCUUUAUUUUAGUUACUGGUACUAUCAAUAAUCUAAGCAUCUUAACCUCCUUAAUUGCAAUUCCUUACCCUUCCUAAUAGCCCAGUAUAUAAAAGAAUCACUAAGUUUUAGAAGAAUUAACAGGACUUCAUCAAUUUCACCUCUGUCUCUAUUACCCUAUCACUGGGAAUAGCCCCUUUUCCUCUUAACCUUCUAGUCACUACCCAGUCUACAGUCCUUAAAUGUCACUUUCUCAAAGAGGCCUUCCUCAUCCCCUUCAAUCUAAACUAGGUCAUGCUAUGAAAAAUACUGCAUACAUCUUGUAUUUUUUCUUUACAGUUUGUAGUAUAAACAUAAUUUUAUGUUUCUUUCUCAGUUCUAUAUGUUUCAUGAGGAUAGAGGCUAUGUCUUUUAUUUUUUGUACUAUAGAUGUCCAAUUCCUAGCACAUUGCUUGUCUCAUGGUAGGUAUGCAAUAAAGAUUUCCUGAAAAAUAUAUGAACUUCUUCAAGACUUCCAGCUUGGUUGACCUCCAGAGCUUUACACUCUUAAGUUUAUUUUGUUUGACAUAAGGAAAUGGAAGGUCACCCUAACCGGUUACCUCCUUCAAAUUGUCCAUUCCUAACAUCAUAACUAAUAGCAGAUAACAUUUAUUUAGGAUAUAUUUAGGUGUAGAUUAAAAAGCUGGAAAAGGAAAUGGCAACCUACUCCAGCAUUCUUGCCUGGAAAAUUCCAUGGACAGGGGAAC